RNAcentral lists this ribosomal RNA (1422 nucleotides) under Triticum aestivum (bread wheat). RNAcentral describes it as "partial small subunit ribosomal RNA". The record is from RNAcentral. Lineage: Eukaryota; Viridiplantae; Streptophyta; Magnoliopsida; Poales; Poaceae.
AUGGAUCCGAGCCGGCCACUCCUGGGGCGCGGCGCCUUCCUCUCCUCCUCGGCGCACGCCGCCGCCGCCAUCAUCCUCAUCGCCUUCCUCCUCCUCACCCUGCUCCGCCUCCCGCUCUCCCCCUCCAUCUCCAUCUACACCCCUCCCCCCAUCGCCUCCACGCCCCACCACCACCUGCAGCACCAGGACCAUGAAGACCAGGAGCAGGAGGAUGCCUCAUCCUGCGACCUCUCCUCCCCGCUGGACUGCGCCGACCCACGCCUCUUCCACCUCAUGAUGCGCAGCGCCAUCGACGCCUUCCCCGCCGUCCAUUUCGCCCGCUUCGGCCGCCCCGUUCCCGGCGACCCGCCAUCCGCUUCCUGCGACAUGGCAUGGCGCGCCCGCACCAACUCCUCCGCCUCCGCCUCCCCCACCGCCACCACCAAGGACUACCGCCGCUUCGCCAUCGCGCGGGACCCCCACACCUGCGCCUACUCCGUCACCUCCAUCGGCAAUUACCACUCCGGCCCCAACGCCCGCAAGCCUCGGCCCGGCGCCUCCAACGCCACCGCCGCCCCGCCCCCGCCGCCGCUCUCCCGCUCCCAGUUCGCCGCCGCCACCUACCUCUCCUACCACGGCGGAGGCGACCGCUGCAAGCUCAUGCCACACUACAUGCGCAGCCUCCUCUGCGCCCUCGCCGAGGCGCGCUACCUCAACCGCACCCUCGUCCUCGACCUCAGCCUCUGCCUGGCGGCCUCCUACACAGCCGCCGGCAUGCCCGAGGAGGGCAAGCGCCUCGCCUUCUACUUCGACAUCGACCACCUCCGGUCGUCCGUGGUGGACAUCAUCGAGGAAAGACAGUUCUGGGAAGAUUGGGACAGGUGGGGAGCGCAGGGCCAGCUCGGGCUCCGGCUCAUUGAGGACACUAGGGUUGCUCCCACCAAGUUCUCGAAGGCUAAGGACACCCUGAUUGUCAGGAAAUUUGGGGACGUCGAGCCAGGGAAUUACUGGUACCAUGUGUGUGAGGGUGAGGCGGAGCGUGUGCUCCCUCCGCCUCACCAUGCCAUACGUUUGGCACCAAGUUUGAUGAGCAUUGUUGAUGAUAUCAUCUCAAGUAUGCAACAAGACUUUGAUUCCGUCCAUGUUGGUGGCAGUGUUGGGGACCUCAUCGAGCGAAUCGGGGAUGGUGUUGAUGUAGGAAGGCAAGUGUACAUUGCUGGAGAGGGGAUCAACACGGUCUCCAUGGAGGUGCUUAAGGCAAAGUACAACAACUUGCGUUACCUGGAUGAGUUUCAGAGGCUCUGGAGAAAAGAAAGCAAGUGGUUCUUGGAGAUGAAGAGGCUCAAUGGUGGAGUUCCUGUGAAGUUUGAUGGGUACAUGCGUGAGCUGGUUGACAGGGAGGUCUUCCUCAAGGGCAAGAAGAAGGUCGAGGUGCUCCAGUGA